CUAUAGCCACCUCACUCAUGCCUCAAAUGAAGAGAAAGCACCAGCUUAUUGCAUUCUUUCUCUUUGCACUCUUCAUUGCUUCUCAGUCUUAUUGCUCCCCUGUGAUUAUGGUUCAUGCUGCAGAUUCAGGCAAGGCAACCAUAUGUAUGUAUACACAACAAACCGAUUCAAACCCAUGCAUGUAUUUUUUGAAUUUAGUAACGAAAAAAACCAUUACUAAUCUGAUAAAAUUUCUAUAAUUUUUAUUUUUUUAUUUAGUGACCAAUUGGGAUCAUAAGUUAACUCCUAUUUGUAUUUCAUACAUCAUAAAAUAUUUAUUUACACUUAGUUCAUCACGAGUUUGAAAUUUAAUUAUACGGAUUUAUUUAUUUUUAUGCUUCAUGCAGUUGAUUUCAGGGUUAGAAAUACACAACAAAAAACAAAUUCAUUUACCAGACAUAUGUUAGCUUAUAGGGUGAGUGAUAUAUAUAUUUAUUUAUUUCUUUUUUUGAAUAGUAUUAAUUUUUAUUUAUUUUGAUAUGGUGAAAAUUGCUUAUUUUGUUUAUGUUGUUUUUGUUUAUGGGAUUGAAGAAAUCUGCAGGAGCACAGGUGAAAGAAAUAAUUCAGAAGGUUCCUUCAGGGCCAAACCCCAUCGGAAAUCGGCACCCACCAUCUAUCCAUGUUUGAGAAUGCAUGGCGACUCUUUUCAUUUUCAUGCUCUUGGUGUAAAAUAGGGGUUGGUGAUCAAACACUUAAGUUCAGCAAUAAGAAGGCAAUUCAGUUCAAAUUUUUUGGUUUUAGAGUUUUUUUUUUUUUCUAUGUUGUUGUAAUAGGAUUUUGAAUAUGAGGGUUGUAAUAUGUUAGAAAUAUAAAAUUAUUGUUGAGAUCCUUAUUCAUAUGUAAGUUUGAGUUUUCCUUUUAAUUUAUUUGUCAAUAUAUUACGAGAGCUUCAAAAAUUUACACUUUAAA
This 948-nucleotide long non-coding RNA is filed under the name Manihot esculenta (cassava). Its description in RNAcentral is "long non-coding RNA (MESC_LNC004236)". The record is from RNAcentral. Lineage: Eukaryota; Viridiplantae; Streptophyta; Magnoliopsida; Malpighiales; Euphorbiaceae.